UAGAAGAUGGUGUAAAGGAAGCACUAGGAGUUUUGAUCUCCUGAGUUUGGGUUCGAAUCCCUUUUUUCUAA
Molecule: transfer RNA, 71 nt
Filed under: Harpadon microchir
Lineage: Eukaryota; Metazoa; Chordata; Actinopteri; Aulopiformes; Synodontidae
Description: tRNA-Gln
Rfam family: tRNA
About the family: Transfer RNA (tRNA) molecules are approximately 80 nucleotides in length. Their secondary structure includes four short double-helical elements and three loops (D, anti-codon, and T loops).
Source: RNAcentral